Molecule: ribosomal RNA, 540 nt
Filed under: Triticum aestivum (bread wheat)
Lineage: Eukaryota; Viridiplantae; Streptophyta; Magnoliopsida; Poales; Poaceae
Description: partial small subunit ribosomal RNA
Source: RNAcentral
AUGCACAACAUUUGCAGUAUUUGGCAGAAGUGUUGCAGUUAUUGCUCAAACAUUAAUGGCAAGUUAAACUAUCUAAAUGUGCUUUUGCAGACUCAAAUUGGAUAUCUGGGACACAUAAUCAAUGGACAAGGAAUGGCUACUGACCCCUCUAAGAUAUCUGCUAUCAAGGAAUGGCCAGUACCUGUGUCUGCCAAGGAAGUGAGAGGAUUUUUGGGCCUUGCUGGUUAUUAUAGGAAAUUUAUUUCCCAUUAUGGCAUGUUGAGAAAGCCAUUGACAAAUUUUUUGAAGAAGGGGGUACCAUUUCAUUGGACACACAAUGAACAACAAGCAUUUGUGCUACUGAAGCAAGCUUUGGUUUCACUCCUGUUCUGGCACUGCCAAAUUUCUCCAAGAAAUUUAUUGUGGAAACUGAUGCCAGUGAUGUCAGAAUUGGAGCAGUGCUUAUGCCGGAGGGACACCCCAUUGCUUAUGUCAGUAGAGCCCUUGGGCCCAGGAAUCACACUGUCAGUUUAUGAAAAAGAAUACUUAGCAAUUCUUUGA